AACGAACGCUGGCGGCAUGCCUAACACAUGCAAGUCGAACGAGACCUUCGGGUCUAGUGGCGCACGGGUGCGUAACGCGAGGGAACCUGCCCUUAGGUUCGGAAUAACUCCCCGAAAGGGGUGCUAAUACCGGGUAAUGUCUUCGGACCAAAGAUUUAUCGCCUUUGGAUGGGCCCGCGUUGGAUUAGCUAGUGGGUAGGGUAAAAGCCUACCAAGGCGACGAUCCAUAGCUGGUCUGAGAGGAUGAUCAGCCACACUGGGACUGAGACACGGCCCAGACUCCUACGGGAGGCAGCAGUGGGGAAUAUUGGACAAUGGGCGAAAGCCUGAUCCAGCAAUGCCGCGUGAGUGAUGAAGGCCUUAGGGUUGUAAAGCUCUUUUACCCGGGAUGAUAAUGACAGUACCGGGAGAAUAAGCUCCGGCUAACUCCGUG
RNAcentral lists this ribosomal RNA (433 nucleotides) under uncultured bacterium. Its description in RNAcentral is "partial 16S ribosomal RNA". It matches the Rfam family "Bacterial small subunit ribosomal RNA", at positions 29 to 507 of the family's 1533-position model. The record is from RNAcentral.